UAUGGAAGACACUGUGUAUGUUGGAUAACUCAGGUGGCAAUACCAAAUGAUAGACGAUAGCUCCCACUCUAUCCAAUAUUUCAAAAGGUCGAAUAAAUCUAGGACUGGGUUUUUCUUUCCUCCUAAAUCUCAUUAUCCCUUUCAUUGGUGAGAUUUUCAAAAAUAGAUGGUCGCCUACUUCGAAUUCUAAAUCGUUUCUCCAAUUGUCGGCAUAAUUUUUUUGCCUACU
This 229-nucleotide long non-coding RNA is filed under the name Carica papaya (papaya). RNAcentral's name for it is "long non-coding RNA (CPAP_LNC005115)". Lineage: Eukaryota; Viridiplantae; Streptophyta; Magnoliopsida; Brassicales; Caricaceae. The record is from RNAcentral.